UCAAAGAAAGAAAAGAACAUUUAGUACUUUAAAUAACAGAGAAAAUAUGUUACUCUUCGUUGUUUUGCUUGUCUUUUGCUUGUGCUCCUGGCCAGAGAAGGAGUGAAAGCUGUAAAAUGAAUAUUCAUCCUGAUACUGUAAAGAGCUGGGUGGCAAGUGCAUUUCCUGGUCUGUCUUAAGAUAUCCCAAAACCUCAAAAAAUGAAGAGGACAGAAGAUGCAAGGCACAACAGAGGAGCUGACUUCAAAUCUUGCCUCUGGAAAAGGCAAGCUGCCCCAGAGCCAUCUGCAUUUCUCCUGAAGUGAAGAUGUAGACAUAGAUUCCCAU
This is a long non-coding RNA of Passer domesticus (house sparrow), 327 nucleotides long. RefSeq lists it as uncharacterized. The record is from RefSeq and is a predicted model, not a curated record. Lineage: Eukaryota; Metazoa; Chordata; Aves; Passeriformes; Passeridae. The transcript is spliced from 3 exons.